UAUGUGAUCGUCUCUCGCAUAUCAAUAAGCGGAGGAAAAGAAACUAACAAGGAUUCCCCUAGUAACGGCGAGUGAAGCGGGAAGAGCUCAAAUUUGAAAUCUUAAAGGGUUUCCCUUUACGAGUUGUAGUUUAAAGAAGUGUUUUCUGUUGAGGUUUUGGUAAAAGUUCUUUGGAAUAGGACAUCAUAGAGGGUGAGAAUCCCGUAUUUGACCUUUACUUUCAACUUUGUGAUACACUUUCAAAGAGUCGGAUUGUUUGGGAAUGCAGUCCAAAAUGGGUGGUAAAUUUCAUCUAAAGCUAAAUAUUGGCGAGAGACCGAUAGCGAACAAGUACCGUGAGGGAAAGAUGAAAAGAACUUUGAAAAGAGAGUUAAACAGUACGUGAAAUUGUCAAAAGGGAAGCGUUUGACACCAGUGUUGUUUUUCUGAAAAUCAAUUAAAGAACUGUUUAUGCUAAGUUGUUUAGACUUUAUCAGCUAACUGUUUAGUUUUGAGCUUUUCUUUAAUGCACUUUUCAGUUAACAAGUCAACAUCAAUUUCUUUUGCUGUAAAAAAGCUUGAGGAAGGUGGCUUGAGAUUCGUCUUAAGUGUUUAUAGCCUCUUGCCUAUGCAGUCGGAGAGAUUGAGGUCUGCAGCGUAGAUCCUUCGGGGCUAAAUGCAUUUGUGCUAAGUUAUAGCAUUUUAUAGACAACUUGUUGACUAUGAUUUGUCUUGUAGCUUACUCGCUUAUGUUAUUUUACCUACGCUUAGGAUGUUGACACACGCGCGUGCUCGACUCUAUACAUGUACUCUGCGCAUAUCAAUAAGCGGAGGAAAAGGCUGCGGAACUGAACGACCGCUACCUACGCUUAGGAUGUUGACACACGCGCGUGCUCG
This 876-nucleotide ribosomal RNA is filed under the name uncultured Neocallimastigales. RNAcentral's name for it is "partial large subunit ribosomal RNA". It matches the Rfam family "Eukaryotic large subunit ribosomal RNA", at positions 24 to 634 of the family's 3401-position model. The record is from RNAcentral. Lineage: Eukaryota; Fungi; Neocallimastigomycota; Neocallimastigomycetes; Neocallimastigales.